This 458-nucleotide ribosomal RNA is filed under the name uncultured bacterium. Its description in RNAcentral is "partial 16S ribosomal RNA". It matches the Rfam family "Bacterial small subunit ribosomal RNA", at positions 338 to 795 of the family's 1533-position model. The record is from RNAcentral.
CCUACGGGUGGCUGCAGUGGGGAAUAUUGGGCAAUGGGCGCAAGCCUGACCCAGCAACGCCGCGUGAAGGAAGAAGGCCCUCGGGUUGUAAACUUCUUUUGUCAAGGGACAAAAUCAGGCUCGAGAGCCUGACCGAGGGUACUUGAAGAAAAAGCAUCGGCUAACUCCGUGCCAGCAGCCGCGGUAAUACGGAGGAUGCGAGCGUUAUCCGGAUUUAUUGGGUUUAAAGGGUGCGUAGGCGGACUGUUAAGUCAGCGGUAAAAGCCCGGGGCUCAACCCCGGCGAGCCGUUGAAACUGGCUGUCUUGAGAUGUCGAGAGGUAUGCGGAAUGCGCAGUGUAGCGGUGAAAUGCUUAGAUAUUGCGCAGAACUCCGAUUGCGAAGGCAGCAUACCGGCGGCGAUCUGACGCUGAGGCACGAAAGCGUGGGUAUCGAACAGGAUUAGAUACCCCGGUAGUC